Molecule: ribosomal RNA, 478 nt
Filed under: uncultured bacterium
Lineage: Bacteria
Description: partial 16S ribosomal RNA
Rfam family: Bacterial small subunit ribosomal RNA
Source: RNAcentral
GACGAACGCUGGCGGCGUGCUUAACACAUGCAAGUCGAACGGGAUUUAGUAAACAGAAGCCUCGGUGGAAGAUUACUAAUGAGAGUGGCGAACGGGUGAGUAACGCGUGAGCAACCUGCCUAUGACAGUGGGAUAGCCUCGGGAAACCGGGAUUAAUACCGCAUAAAAUCGUAGAAACACAUGUUUUAACGGUCAAAGAUUUAUCGGUCAUAGAUGGGCUCGCGUCUGAUUAGCUAGUUGGUGAGAUAACAGCCCACCAAGGCGACGAUCAGUAGCCGGUCUGAGAGGAUGAACGGCCACAUUGGAACUGAGACACGGUCCAAACUCCUACGGGAGGCAGCAGUGGGGAAUAUUGUACAAUGGGGGAAACCCUGAUGCAGCGACGCCGCGUGAACGAAGAAGGUAUUCGUAUCGUAAAGUUCUGUCCUAUGGGAAGAUAAUGACAGUACCAUAGAAGAAAGCUCCGGCUAAAUACGUG